Long non-coding RNA from Xiphophorus maculatus (southern platyfish), 273 nucleotides. RefSeq lists it as uncharacterized. The record is from RefSeq and is a predicted model, not a curated record. Lineage: Eukaryota; Metazoa; Chordata; Actinopteri; Cyprinodontiformes; Poeciliidae. The transcript has 3 exons.
AAGUUCCCACUAAUCCAGCUGAUCCCUGAAAGUCUUGGAGGCGCUCAUGGCUGUGGUGGCUAAGCAGGAGUGUGACCUCAGCACCAGUAGUCGUGGGAAUGGAAGCUGGGUGUGUCUGGACUGCUGCCUCCUGCACACCUGCAGGAGAUUCCUUCAUUUGGCAGAGCCACUAAAAGCUACAGAAUGUCUUCUCUUCGACUGAUUAUACCUGGUGACUGAUCACUUAGAGGUUCCACCUCCAUCUGCCCUCAGAGAAUCUCCUUGCACUAUCUG